ACAUCUACAGGCUAGGCUGCAAGGAACACGCUCAAUGUGAGCACGACAUUCAUCUGGUGGGACGGCGGGCGAUCGGAAGGCUGGUGUGUAGUGAGUGCUGUGACCACACAGGAUGCCAGACAGGCCUUUGUUCGCAUUACGCUCACCAACCAACCACCACUCCGCCACCAGUCA
Mya arenaria is the source of this 174-nucleotide long non-coding RNA. RefSeq lists it as uncharacterized. The record is from RefSeq and is a predicted model, not a curated record. NCBI's taxonomy places the organism in Eukaryota, Metazoa, Mollusca, Bivalvia, Myida, Myidae. The transcript has 3 exons.